This 253-nucleotide ribosomal RNA is filed under the name uncultured bacterium. Its description in RNAcentral is "partial 16S ribosomal RNA". It matches the Rfam family "Bacterial small subunit ribosomal RNA", at positions 524 to 776 of the family's 1533-position model. The record is from RNAcentral.
UACGUAGGGUGCGAGCGUUGUCCGGAAUUAUUGGGCGUAAAGAGCUCGUAGGCGGCUUGUCACGUCGGUUGUGAAAGCCCGGGGCUUAACCCCGGGUCUGCAGUCGAUACGGGCAGGCUAGAGUUCGGUAGGGGAGAUCGGAAUUCCUGGUGUAGCGGUGAAAUGCGCAGAUAUCAGGAGGAACACCGGUGGCGAAGGCGGAUCUCUGGGCCGAUACUGACGCUGAGGAGCGAAAGCGUGGGGAGCAAACAGG